CUAAGGAAUAUUUCCGGCAAUGGGGGAACCCGUGACGGAGCGACGCCGCGUGGACGAUGAAGGCCGGAAGGUUGUAAAGUCCUUUUAUGGCAGAGGAAUAAGCGGGGGAGUGGAAAGCCCUCGCGGUGACUGUAGGCCAUGAAUAAGCACCGGCUAAUUACGUGCCAGCAGCCGCGGUAACACGUAAGGUGCGAGCGUUGUUCGGAAUCAUUGGGCGUAAAGGGCAUGUAGGCGGUCUGUCAAGCCAGGCGUGAAAGCCAGGGGCUCAACCCCUGAACUGCGCUUGGAACUGGCGGACUGGAGUCGCUGAGGGGGAA
This 317-nucleotide ribosomal RNA is filed under the name uncultured Treponema sp. Its description in RNAcentral is "bacterial SSU rRNA". It matches the Rfam family "Bacterial small subunit ribosomal RNA", at positions 354 to 660 of the family's 1533-position model. The record is from RNAcentral. Lineage: Bacteria; Pseudomonadati; Spirochaetota; Spirochaetia; Treponematales; Treponemataceae.